Molecule: ribosomal RNA, 429 nt
Filed under: Pseudomonadota bacterium
Lineage: Bacteria; Pseudomonadati; Pseudomonadota
Description: Proteobacteria bacterium partial 16S ribosomal RNA
Rfam family: Bacterial small subunit ribosomal RNA
Source: RNAcentral
UGGGGAAUAUUGGACAAUGGGCGAAAGCCUGAUCCAGCCAUGCCGCGUGUGUGAAGAAGGUCUUCGGAUUGUAAAGCACUUUAAGUUGGGAGGAAGGGCAGUAAGCGAAUACCUUGCUGUUUUGACGUUACCGACAGAAUAAGCACCGGCUAACUCUGUGCCAGCAGCCGCGGUAAUACAGAGGGUGCAAGCGUUAAUCGGAAUUACUGGGCGUAAAGCGCGCGUAGGUGGUUCGUUAAGUCGAAUGUGAAAGCCCCGGGCUCAACCUGGGAACUGCAUCCAAAACUGGCGAGCUAGAGUAGGGCAGAGGGUGGUGGAAUUUCCUGUGUAGCGGUGAAAUGCGUAGAUAUAGGAAGGAACACCAGUGGCGAAGGCGACCACCUGGGCUCAUACUGACACUGAGGUGCGAAAGCGUGGGGAGCAAACAGG